UACAUUUAAGUAGAGCCUCUAUUAAAAGUUUAUUAAAAGUCUUUUAAAAGUUUCCAUGCAGCUUGCAGGAAUUUUACUUUUGGUGCUGUACCUUUUAAUUUCUGUUUAACUAACCUCAUUUUUGUCUAGUUCCUCUUUCUGAAAGUAAAUGUUACAGUGUUGGGCCGCUGUGGUGUUUUCUCUGCCACAGGGAUGUUAAAUUUAAUUAUAUUAUGGUCACUAUUACCAAGCGAUUCAGCUAUAUCCACCUCUCGGACCUGAUCCUGUGCUCCACUUAGGACUAAAUCAAAAAUUGCCUCUCCUCUUGUGGGUUCCAGGACCAGCUGCUCCAAGAAGCAGUCAUUUAAGAUGUCAAGAAACUUUAUAUCUGCAUCCCUUCCUGAGAUGACAUGUACCCAGUCAAUACGGGGAUAGCUGAAAUCCCCCAUUAUUAGAGUUUUUUUAUUUUAAUAGCCUCUCUGAUCUUCCUGAUCAUUUCACAGUCACUAUCACCAUCGUUGUCAGGUGGUCUGGAAUAUAUCCCUACUACUAUAUUCUUGUUUUUUAAGCAUGGAAUUACUAUUCAUAGAUAUUCUAUGGUACAGUUUGGUUCAUUUAAGAUUUUUACUUCAUCUGAUUCUACGCUUUCUUUCACAUUUAGUGCCACUGCCACUCCCACACCAGCAUGACCUGUUCUGUCCUUCUGACAUAUUUUGUACCCUGGUAUUACUGUGUCCCAUUGAUUAUCCUUAUUCUACCAAGUUUCUGUGAUGCCUAUUAUAUCAAUAUCCUCAUUUAAUACGAGGCACUCUAGUUCACCCAUCUUAUUAUUUAGACUUCUAGCAUUGUUAUAUAAGCACUUUAAAAGCUUGUCACUUUUUAGCUGUCUGCCAUUACAUGAUGUAAUUGAAUGGAACUUUUUUUUCUUUUGACUGUUUCUCAUCAGAUCCUACCUGUAUUUUAUCAUCUUCCAUCCUUCACCUCCUUAUACAGGGAAUCUCCAUUUAUAGAUCCUCCCCAAGGGAUGUCCGAACAUGUGCUCUUCUACACCUGUCGGCUUUCUCCCAGCCCUUAGUUUAAAAACUGCUCUACGACCUUUUUAAUUUUAAACGCCAGGAAUCUAGUUGCAAUCGGGUUUAGGUGGAGCGCAUCCUUCCUGUAUAGGCUCCCCCUUUCCCAAAAGUUUCCCCAGUUCCUAAUAAAUCUAAACCCCUCCUCCCUGCACCAUCAUCUCAUCCAUGCAUUGAGACCCUGCAGUUCUGCUUGUCUAACUGGCAUGAGCAUGGAACUGGAAACAUUUCAGAGAACGCUACCAGGGAGGUCCUGGACUUCAAUCUCUUACCUAGCACCCUAAAUUUGGCCUCCUGGACCUCUCUCCUAUCCUUCCCUAUGUCAUUGGUACCUACGUGUACCACAACCACUGGCUCCUCCCUAGCACUACACAUAAGCCUAUCUAGAUGUCUCGAGAGAUCCGCAACUGUCACACCAGGCAGGCAAGUUACCAUGCGGUUCUCCCGGUCAUUGCAUACCCAGCUAUCUAUGUUUCUAAGGAUCGAAUCGCCCAUUACCAAUACCUGUCUCUUCCUAAUAACUGGAGUUCCCUCCCCCGGAGAGGUAGCCUCAGUGCGAGAGGAUACCACAUCAUCAUCUGGAAAUGGGAUCAUUUCCCUUUGCUCCAGUUGGAUGUUCUCCUUCCCUGAGACUUUCAUCCUCCUCAACAGCACAGAGGCCGUCAGAUGGGGGGUGGGACCAUUCUACUGUGUCCUGGAAAGUCUCAUCUACUUACCUCAAGCUCCUCCAGCUCAGCCACCCUGGUCUCCAAAGCCCAUACACAGUCUCUGAGGGCCUGGAGCUCCUUGCACCGAAUGCGCACAUACGCCACACAUACACACACAUUAUGCCAUGUAAUACACACCUACGCCACCUGCCCAUAGGGCAGGUAAUCAUACAUGCUGUAUUGGGUGCAAUAAACUGGGUCGCCCCCACUCUGUUUCUAUUUCUUGAAGUCUCAUACAGAAUCAAUCACCUGUUUACCUUGCUACUUAUAUAUAACUUUCAGUAACCUAACAACCACUCCACCCACACAACACUACUUUAUCAUUAUAUUUUUUUAAAAAGUUUCCCAUCCAAGGCUCCCUGACGCAUCAUUAACACAAUAAAAUCCUAGCAGCAUUAAUCAUUUCAACAGGAACUCAGGCAGGCAGACACCUACAGAAACUUCUUUGUCCAUCACACUGUGGGGAAACAAACCCUCAGCCUUCUGCAAAAACUCCAAACAGGUGUCUCAUGGAGCAUGAUCAAAAUGUCACUGAAUUUGAGCUAUUUCACACCAAGCGGGAUGUGGGAACAAGUUCCAGUCCUGGAGCCCUUAGUGAGGGGGAUCGAGGUCAAAUACCUCUGCUGACCACAGCUGUGGCAGGUUGGCAUGUGGAGGACAGGCCAGUCCCAGGACAUUUAAAACUUUAGAGGUCACAACAAACACCUUAAGCUCCACCCGGAGUCGAAUGGAUAGCCAGGGCAGAUUUUGGAGCACUGGCAUCACGGGUAUGUGUGAGAUGCCGCCCCAUUCAAUAAGCAGCCCACAGCUUUCUGCACCAGCUUUUUAAGGUGUAGUCCCAGCCAGCGUGCCUCGCAACAGUGUAAUCAAAAGCACAGAUGAGAGUGGCAUGGUCUGCAUUCAAAAGGAAAGAUUGCAACCUCCAGCCCAGACACAGAUGGUAAUAAUCUGACUAGGGGCUUGUCUACACUGUCACUUUAGACUGUUGCACCUUUCUCACUCAGGGGUGUGAGAGAAAACACCCUCGAGCGCUGCGAGUUUCAGCGCUGUAACGUGCCGGUAUAGACAGUGCACGAGCGCUGGGAGCUGCGCCCCUCAUGAAGGUGGUUUUUUUAGAGCGCUGGGAGAGCUCUCUCCCAGUGCUCUGCCAUGACUAUACAAGCCAUGUUAAAGCACUGCCGUGGCAGCGCUUUACGUUGCCAGUGUAGACAAGCCCCAAAUUAAUGCUGCAAUAUGAUCAUCAGACAGCAACCGGAGAGCAAAAAUCACCCCGACACUAGAAUUCCUAGAAAUUAAUGAUGCACACGCUCCCGCAGUCAAAGGGCUUAAUGUGGUUUUAGUUCUCACCACAAGUAAUCUGGGGUGAGUAUACACCAGAACCAAACUGUGACACUUCUUGAUUCAGGUAGCCUGCAAAAGUGUAACUUAAUACCCACCUCUACCUGAGGAGCUGCAUUUCUGACCCUGCAAGACACACCUACAGAGCCCACCCCCAGCCUAGAAAACACAGCCGAAUCCUUGGGACUUAGAACCAUCUCGACUAGCUGAAGAGGAAGAACAACAAACAAUGAGAGACAUCAAGGACACAAGAGUGUUUCAGUGCAUAUCUAAUUGCUGGAAAUCGCUCCCAGAGGUCACUUGGGAGUGCGGGUAUUGGGGCUAAUACAGCAAAUCCGAUGAGAAGAGCACUGAAGGCCCUUUUAAGCAAAGAAACUCCAAGAAGCCCAGGACUUCUGGUUUCAUUUUUAAAGGCCAGAGGCUACAUCUUAGAAAAGCAGCUAAGUCUGAAUGGGAUGAAAAUAGUUGGCCUCAUUCAGCUUUUCAAAAACGGUGACUAAACCAAGGAAAAGGUCAGAAAUGCUGUCACACAGCCAAAUCUUGCUGAUAACAUGUACUGAUGGAUUCCAUCAACUAGCCUUGAUGGAGAGAGCUGAUAUCAGGAGACAAUCACCGCCCUGAAGCAUUAUGAGAUUGAAGACACAGCAGCAUUUAACCAGAGGAACACACGCAGCCCUGGGGAAAGCAAUUAAUAUGCUAGUUUGCUCAGAAGAAAUCUAAUAAAUGCCCUACCACCAAGUAA
Long non-coding RNA from Chelonia mydas (Green sea turtle), 3836 nucleotides. RefSeq lists it as uncharacterized. Lineage: Eukaryota; Metazoa; Chordata; Testudines; Cheloniidae. The transcript has 4 exons. The record is from RefSeq and is a predicted model, not a curated record.